Eurytemora carolleeae is the source of this 866-nucleotide long non-coding RNA. RefSeq lists it as uncharacterized. Lineage: Eukaryota; Metazoa; Arthropoda; Copepoda; Calanoida; Temoridae. The transcript has 4 exons. The record is from RefSeq and is a predicted model, not a curated record.
UCUCAAAUUCAGGAAUUUUUAUUGAUUUCGGGUAUUUUUACUCAAAUUCAAGUACUUUUACUAAAAUUCAGGUACCUUUACUCAAAUUUAGGUACUUUUACUUAUAUUCAGGUACUUUUACUUAAAUUCAGGUACUUCUACUCAAUUGCAGGUAUUCUUACUUAAUUUCAGGUACUUAUACUCAAGUGCAGGUACUUUUACUCAAGUGUAGGUACUUUUGCUCAUAUUUAGGUACAUUUAUUAGAUUUAGGUACUUUCUCUCAACUUUUGGUACUCAAAUUAAAUAACUUUUACUCAAAUUCAGGUACAUUCACUUAACUUUAGGUACAUUUUCCAGAAAGAAGCAACUGUAUUUUAAAAGCAAAGAAAUGUACGAAUUUUUUCUCAAAAACUAAUUAUUACUUAUCCCUUCUUUCAAAAGGAUUAGAAUAAAAUAAAAUUUCAUCGAAAUAGAGAUGUUCAUUUAAAAACUGCGCAUUUGUGGGUUUUUUGUCCCACCCGACUCUAAAUUGCAUGAUCGGAGCCGGUAAAUUAUGAACUGUACAUGCAUUCAGUCGUACAGUCCAGUCUGGACCACCCAGUGUAGUCGACCCAGCACGUUUCAUGCAUCGUUUUAUUCAUCAUUUGUUUUUUUAGGAUAAUAAUUGAUCUGAGACGAGUUACUGUACAGAGGUUUGGAUGUCAGCAGAAUUUGAAGAAGGAGAAGAAUUUGUAUUUUGUUCUUCUCAGCGUUGUGAGCUCUUUUAUUGUGCUUCACACCCCUCGACUUAUCAUAGACAUGUAUGAGAUGAUUAACUAUGGAAAGAUAAAGGACUGUGGGUACCACUCCUUUAUUUUCCCAGUCUGGUUUGAUACCCUGCUCCCAG